GUGCUUUCUUUGGCAGCUCAUCUGCUAAAACUGGAAUGGUACAGAGAAUAUUAGCAAGUGUGCUGCCCAAGGAUGACAUGCAAUUUUGUGAAGCAUUCUAUGGUUUA
Small nuclear RNA from Sarcophilus harrisii (Tasmanian devil), 107 nucleotides. The record is from Ensembl. NCBI's taxonomy places the organism in Eukaryota, Metazoa, Chordata, Mammalia, Dasyuromorphia, Dasyuridae.